UACGUAGGGGGCUAGCGUUGUCCGGAAUCAUUGGGCGUAAAGAGCGUGUAGGCGGCCAGGUAGGUCAGCUGUGAAAACUCGAGGCUCAACCUCGAGACGCCGGUUGAAACCAUCUGGCUAGAGUCCGGAAGAGGAGAGUGGAAUUCCUGGUGUAGCGGUGAAAUGCGCAGAUAUCAGGAAGAACACCCGUGGCUAAGGCGGCUCUCUAGUACGGUACUGACGCUGAGACGCGAAAGCGUGGGGAGCGAACAGG
This 253-nucleotide ribosomal RNA is filed under the name uncultured bacterium. Its description in RNAcentral is "partial 16S ribosomal RNA". It matches the Rfam family "Bacterial small subunit ribosomal RNA", at positions 524 to 776 of the family's 1533-position model. The record is from RNAcentral.